AGAACGAACGCUGGCGGCAUGCCUAACACAUGCAAGUCGAACGCGUGUAGCGAUACACGAGUGGCGGACGGGUGAGUAACGCGUGGGAACCUGCCCUGGAGUGUGGGAUAACCGAGGGAAACUUCGGCUAAUACCGCAUACGACCUGAGGGUGAAAGAUUUAUCGCUCUAGGAGGGGCCCGCGUCGGAUUAGCUAGUUGGUGGGGUAAAGGCCUACCAAGGCAGUGAUCCGUAGCUGGUCUGAGAGGACGACCAGCCACACUGGGACUGAGACACGGCCCAGACACCUACGGGUGGCAGCAGUCGAGAAUUUUUCUCAAUGGGGGAAACCCUGAAAGGAGCGACGCCGCGUGGAGGAUGAAGGUCUUCGGAUUGUAAACUCCUGUCAUUGGGAACAAGUCGCUUACGUUAAACUGCGUGAGCGUUGAUAGUAACCCGAAGAGGAAGAGACGGCUAACUCUGUGCCAGCAGCCGC
RNAcentral lists this ribosomal RNA (474 nucleotides) under uncultured bacterium. RNAcentral's name for it is "SSU rRNA". It matches the Rfam family "Bacterial small subunit ribosomal RNA", at positions 26 to 518 of the family's 1533-position model. The record is from RNAcentral.